UAUCUCUCCUUCAAGACUAACUGAGCUGGACAUAGCAGUGCACACCUGUCACCCCGGCACUUAGGAGGCUGAGGCAGGAGGAU
This 83-nucleotide microRNA precursor is filed under the name Cavia aperea (Brazilian guinea pig). Its description in RNAcentral is "miRNA (ENSCAPG00000003869.1)". Lineage: Eukaryota; Metazoa; Chordata; Mammalia; Rodentia; Caviidae. The record is from RNAcentral.